This 613-nucleotide small RNA is filed under the name uncultured fungus. Its description in RNAcentral is "eukaryotic LSU rRNA". The stretch from base 174 to 327 matches the Rfam family "5.8S ribosomal RNA". Lineage: Eukaryota; Fungi. The record is from RNAcentral.
GGAUCAUUAGUGAAUUGAAUAUGUUAGCGGACCUCUUCGGAGUCCCUAGCAUCAAAUCAUAUCCAUAACACCUGUGAACUGUAAGGCUGUCUUGAAAACGAAAGUGAUUAGAGCGCCUGCCCAUUUUAUACAAACAUUAAAGUAACAAACGUAGUCCUAUUAUAAUCUAAUAAAACUUUCAACAACGGAUCUCUUGGCUUUCGCAUCGAUGAAGAACGCAGCGAAAUGCGAUAAGUAAUGUGAAUUGCAGAAUUCAGUGAAUCAUCGAAUCUUUGAACGCACCUUGCGCUCUUUGGUAUUCCGAAGAGCAUGCCUGUUUGAGUGUCAUGAAAAUAUCAACCUUGACUUGGGUUUAGUGCUCUUGUCUUGGCUUGGAUUUGGCUGUUUGCCGCUCGAAAGAGUCGGCUCAGCUUAAAAGUAUUAGCUGGAUCUGUCUUUGAGACUUGGUUUGACUUGGCGUAAUAAGUUAUUUCGCUGAGGACAAUCUUCGGAUUGGCCGAGUUUCUGGGACGUUUGUCCGCUUUCUAAUACAAGUUCUAGCUUGCUAGACAUGACUUUUUUAUUAUCUGGCCUCAAAUCAGGUAGGACUACCCGCUGAACUUAAGCAUAUCAU